CAAUAGCGUAUAUUAAAGUUGUUGCAGUUAAAAAGCUCGUAGUUGGAUUUCUGGUGGGAGCGAUCGGUCUGGCGCUUAGCGCGAGUACUUGCAUCGUCUCCGGCCAUCCUUGGGGAGAGUCUGUCUGGCAUUAGGUUGUCGGGCAGAGGAUCCUCAUCGUUUACUGUGAAAAAAUUAGAGUGUUCAAAGCAGGCUUAUGCCGUUGAAUAUAUUAGCAUGGAAUAAUAAGAUAGGACUUUGGUACUAUUUUGUUGGUUUGCGCACCAAAGUAAUGAUUAAUAGGGACAGUUGGGGGUAUUCGUAUUCCGUUGACAGAGGUGAAAUUCUUGGAUUUACGGAAGACGAACUACUGCGAAAGCAUUUACCAAGGAUGUUUUCAUUAA
Molecule: ribosomal RNA, 383 nt
Filed under: uncultured eukaryote
Lineage: Eukaryota
Description: partial 18S ribosomal RNA
Rfam family: Eukaryotic small subunit ribosomal RNA
Source: RNAcentral